GAUGAACGCUAGCUACAGGCUUAACACAUGCAAGUCGAGGGGUAACGAGAGGAAAGCUUGCUUUCCUUGUCGACGACUGGCGCACGGGUGAGUAACGCGUAUCCAACCUGCCCCCAACUAGGGAAUAACCUUGCGAAAGUAAGACUAAUACCCUAUAAUUUCCUCAGAUGUCAUCUGACGAGGAAUAAAGAUUUAUCGGUUGUGGAUGGGGAUGCGUCUGAUUAGCUUGUUGGCGGGGUAACGGCCCACCAAGGCAACGAUUAGUAGGGGUUCUGGGAGGAAGGUCCCCCACAUUGGAACUGAGACACGGUCCAAACUCCUACGGGAGGCAGCAGUGAGGAAUAUUGGUCAAUGGGCGGAAGCCUGAACCAGCCAAGUAGCGUGCAGGAGGACGGCCCUAUGGGUUGUAAACUGCUUUUAUACAGGAAUAAAGUUAGCCACGUGUGGUUAUUUGUAGGUACUGUAUGAAUAAGGACCGGCUAAUUCCGUGCCAGCCGCCGCCGUAA
RNAcentral lists this ribosomal RNA (506 nucleotides) under uncultured bacterium. Its description in RNAcentral is "partial 16S ribosomal RNA". It matches the Rfam family "Bacterial small subunit ribosomal RNA", at positions 28 to 523 of the family's 1533-position model. The record is from RNAcentral.